This is a long non-coding RNA of Equus caballus (horse), 1119 nucleotides long. The record is from Ensembl. Lineage: Eukaryota; Metazoa; Chordata; Mammalia; Perissodactyla; Equidae.
GACACUUUCUUUGCUCAGUGUGGGGAAAAGAUUGCAAAAGAUGCUAUACUUAGGAAAUUCAUUCCUGGGAAGCAUGCUCUGGAAAGAAGGCAAGAAUGUGACUGGCUGGACAACUUUUUGCUGAAGAGAUGAGGCGUAUGACUCGGAUCCAGUCCACCAUCUCAGUAGGAGUCAGGAAUGGAGAGUCUACAGUUGGAGAAGAAUUUUGCCCCAAGAUAGCUCCUACCAAGAGUCUCACACGUCCCUGAUUUAGAUGAUAAGAUUUGGAACUUUUGAGGAGACACGCAGAGGACAGAGAGAGAAGAGGCAGGCAAUGUGACCAUGGUAGCGGAGACUGAAGAGAUGUGGCCACCAGUCAAGGAAUGCCUGAAGCCAUCAGAAGCUGGAAGAGAGAGAGGAAUGGAUAGGCCCCUAGAAGGAUUGGAGGGAGCGUGUCCCUAAUGAUACUUUGAUUUUGGACUUCUGGUCUUGAGAAUUGUGAGAGAAUAAAUUUCUGUUGUUUUAAGCCUCUGAAUUUGUGGCUGUUUGUUACAGCAGCUACAGGAAAGUAGUACAGAUUUUGGUACAUUUUGAUAAGUCAAAGCAACCAGUUACAAAAGACCAUAUAUUGUAUGAUUUCAUUUAUACGAAAUGUCCAGAACAGGCAAAUCUAUGGAGAUGGAAAAUAGAUUAGUGGUUGCAGGGGCUAGAGGUAGAAGGAAUGAGAGUGACUGCUAAUCCAUAUGGGGUUUCCUUCUGGGUGAUAAAAAUGUUCUGCAGUUAGAUAGUGGUGAUGGUUGCACAGUUCUGUGAAUAUACUAAAAACUACUGAAUUUUAUGCUUUAAACCUGUUAAUUUUAUGAUAUGUGAAAUGUAUUUCAAUAAAGCUAUUGUAAAAAAUUUAACAUUAUAAGGUUUUCUUAACAUUAAUUUUAUAUUAUAUCUCUCUUCUCUUCUGGAAAAUUAAAAAAAAAUAAAAUCAAUGUAUUUGUUUGCUUAAUCCUAGUAGAUACCUAAAAGGACUUCAAAAUUACAACAUCUAUCUUACCAUGUCAUUACAACAAUAAAAACACUAAGUGAAUUUUAAGGAUCUUUUUUGUAAUUCUUUUAGUCUUUAGACUAUAUUCCACAAAAAAAUAC